Molecule: long non-coding RNA, 981 nt
Organism: Coffea eugenioides
Lineage: Eukaryota; Viridiplantae; Streptophyta; Magnoliopsida; Gentianales; Rubiaceae
Exons: 6
Source: RefSeq, a predicted model, not a curated record
CAAAUUUUCAGACAUCUUCUCCCCCUCUCUUUAUCCUCCUCACUUCACCGAAUGUACUACUCUGUAUCAAGCUCGCACUACCAAAUCCAUCCAUGAACUAGAGUUUUCGAUUGUCUUCCAUAAACAAUUAGUGCAAGCACUUUCAAUUUGGGUUACUUUGUUGAGCUCGCACCACCAACAUCCCUAAUUCAGAGCUUGAUACAUUGGCUUGGUGGCAAGAAAUUAGAAAUUAGGGCUUGAAAACUUGGGUGAAAGCUGAAGUUUAGAGCUUGAAGCUUGGGGAAAACGGGAAGUUAGGGAUUGAAGGCAUAGUUUGAGCACCUGAUCCAUCUCUGGCCUCUCCGUUUGACCAAACACUAAUCUUAGGUUGUAGUCCUUGGAUCGCCUCAGCAUUGUAGUGCUGGUGGAUUCAAUGAAGAUGAGGCUCGCUUUUUCUUCCAGCAGCUAAUAUCUGGUGUUAGUUACUGUCAUUCAAUGGAAAUCUGUCACAGGGACUUGAAGCUGGAAAACACACUUUUGGAUGGGAGUCCAACACCACGUCUUAAAAUAUGUGAUUUUGGUUAUUCUAAGUCCGGUUUGUUGCACUCACAACCCAAAUCGGCAGUUGGAACACCAGCAUAUAUUGCACCUGAGGUCCUGUCAAGGAAGGAAUAUGAUGGCAAGUACAAUGCUAUUAAAUGCUCUUGAGGAGAUGAAAAAGGUUGGCUUUUGGAUAUGCUCAUGAAGAUGACUUCAGUUUGACACAAAUUGCUGCUUUAGUCUAUGUUUUUGUUUGGAAAGAGUACUUUAUUUUUUUGGAUGCGUAAUGGCUGUUACUAGUUGAACUGAUGUGAAUUUAGUACUCUAUUGUUUGGAUGGAUAAUGGCUGUUAGUACUUGAACUAAUGUGGGCUUUGGAACCCAUUUUGGUUAAUGUGUGUUGUGAUGAAUUUAGAGAUGUUUAUAACCAUAUAUAUAUAUUUGAGGGUUCAUUGUACAUUAA